UACGUAGGCAGCAAGCGUUGUUCGGAGUUACUGGGCGUAAAGAGUGCGUAGGCGGUUCCGUAAGUUUGGUGUGAAAUCUCCCGGCUCAACUGGGAGGGUGCGCCGAAGACUGCGGUGCUUGAGUGUGGGAAAGGUAGGCGGAAUUCCUGGUGUAGCGGUGAAAUGCGUAGAUAUCAGGAGGAACACCGGUGGUGUAGACGGCUUACUAGACCAUGACUGACGCUGAGGCACGAAAGCGUGGGUAGCAAACAGG
Molecule: ribosomal RNA, 253 nt
Filed under: uncultured bacterium
Lineage: Bacteria
Description: partial 16S ribosomal RNA
Rfam family: Bacterial small subunit ribosomal RNA
Source: RNAcentral